RNAcentral lists this ribosomal RNA (253 nucleotides) under uncultured bacterium. RNAcentral describes it as "partial 16S ribosomal RNA". It matches the Rfam family "Bacterial small subunit ribosomal RNA", at positions 524 to 776 of the family's 1533-position model. The record is from RNAcentral.
UACAGGGGGUGCAAACGUUGCUCGGAAUCAUUGGGCGUAAAGCGCGCGUAGGCGGUUACUUAAGUCGGAUGUGAAAGCCCUUGGCUCAACCAAGGAAGUGCACCCGAAACUGAGUAGCUUGAGUACGAAAGAGGGUCGCGGAAUUCCCGGUGUAGAGGUGAAAUUCGUAGAUAUUAGGAAGAACACCAGUGGCGAAGGCGGCUCACUGGCCCGGUACUGACGCUGAGGCGCGAAAGCGUGGGGAGCAAACAGG